This 638-nucleotide long non-coding RNA is filed under the name Felis catus (domestic cat). RNAcentral describes it as "lncRNA (ENSFCAG00000047744.1)". Lineage: Eukaryota; Metazoa; Chordata; Mammalia; Carnivora; Felidae. The record is from RNAcentral.
AUGACCUUUCACUCCCUUUGGACGCGCGCCCUCUUGCGGUGGACGGUGAGUUUGCACGUCUCCGUCCGUUCAUGUGAGCCACGAGCCGAGUUUUGUCGCGAUCCUUCUGUGAUCUCUAUCCCUGUAACCCUUGUCUCUCCUGGUUCUGUUUUUACCGGCCAACCAAAUCAGGAUAUUUCUUCAACUUGGCAAACUUUCUGCAACAAGCAAACCCAUCGACUCCUUAUGUCAGGCCUCCCUCCUCAAUGUCGCCCAUACAUUGUGCUCCUCCUUGUGAAGGAUGCCAGCAGGCCUGCUCGCCCCAUAUCACCUUGACCUUCAUCCAAUGGUUCUCUUAGCUGUUGCCCUUGGUAUCACCCUGUCUGACAUCAGUGUUUCUUUGUGGGUCAAGACGUGGUCUGGAUCUCCCCGAAUCCUGGUAUGUGCCUUUUUGCCCACAGAAUGUCAACUCAUCCCCCUGGGCUUAUCUCCUGUUGAAUGACUCAUCUGAGGGUGGAGUGGGGAGGCCAGCCAUGCCUAAAAAAAUGUGCCCCGUGGAUCCUGGGGAUUUAGUUACUCUGGACUUCGCAUCCGAUUUUACUGUUUCCACCAAUGUAAUUGGAGAGAUGAGAAUAAAGCUACUUGCUGGCAUUUUCUCA